CAAGUCGAACGAGAAAGGGAGCAAUCCUGAGUAAAGUGGCGUACUGGUGAGUAACACGUGGAUAUCUACCUCUUGGUGGGGAAUAACCUGGGGAAACCUGGGCUAAUACCGCAUAAGUUCGUGUGAAGAAAGGCGCAAGUCGCCGAGAGAGGAGUCCGCGGUCGAUUAGGUAGUUGGCGGGGUAAGAGCCCACCAAGCCAAAGAUCGAUAGCCGGCCUGAGAGGGCACACGGCCACACUGGCACUGAAACACGGGCCAGACUCCUACGGGAGGCAGCAGUGGGGAAUCUUGCACAAUGGGGGAAACCCUGAUGCAGCGACGCCGCGUGAGCGAUGAAGCCCUUCGGGGUGUAAAGCUCUUUCGGCAGGAACGAUAAUGACGGUACCUGCAGAAGAAGCUGCGGCUAACUACGUGCCAGCAGCCGCGGUAAUACGUAGGCAGCAAGCGUUGUUCGGAAUUACUGGGCGUAAAGAGUGUGUAGGUGGUGUCGUAAGUUUGGUGUGAAAUCUCCCGGCUUAACUGGGAGGGUGCGCCGAAGACUGCGAUGCUGGAGUAUGGGAGAGGAAAGCGGAAUUCCUGGUGUAGCGGUGAAAUGCGUAGAUAUCAGGAGGAACACCUGCGGUGUAGACGGCUUUCUGGACCAUUACUGACACUGAGACACGAAAGCGUGGGUAGCAAACAGGAUUAGAUACCCUGGUAGUCCACGCCCUAAACGAUGCAUACUUGGUGUGAGCCAUUCAGUUGGUUCGUGCCGGACUAACGCGUUAAGUAUGCCGCCUGGGGAGUACGGUCGCAAGGCUGAAACUCAAAAGGAAUUGACGGGGGCCCGCA
RNAcentral lists this ribosomal RNA (831 nucleotides) under uncultured Bacillota bacterium. Its description in RNAcentral is "bacterial SSU rRNA". It matches the Rfam family "Bacterial small subunit ribosomal RNA", at positions 58 to 925 of the family's 1533-position model. Lineage: Bacteria; Bacillati; Bacillota. The record is from RNAcentral.